UACGUAGGGUGCAAGCGUUGUCCGGAAUUAUUGGGCGUAAAGAGCUUGUAGGCGGUUUGUCGCGUCUGCUGUGAAAUUUCGGGGCUCAACCCCGAACUUGCAGUGGGUACGGGCAGACUAGAGUGUGGUAGGGGAGACUGGAAUUCCUGGUGUAGCGGUGAAAUGCGCAGAUAUCAGGAGGAACACCGAUGGCGAAGGCAGGUCUCUUGGCCACUACUGACGCUGAGAAGCGAAAGCAUGGGGAGCGAACAGG
Molecule: ribosomal RNA, 253 nt
Filed under: uncultured bacterium
Lineage: Bacteria
Description: partial 16S ribosomal RNA
Rfam family: Bacterial small subunit ribosomal RNA
Source: RNAcentral